GGUUUGUGGAUCAUGAUGGCUGCCGCCUUGAGAGGAAGCCUUGUAACAUUGGCCAAGGGCCUUACUGGCACUGGUCCGCGGUGGCAGCAGCUGGCUGCCCGAUCCCUCAAUAUGACCUCCAGUCUGAGUGGGCCUGAGGCACCCCCCGGCCCGCGCCGACGCCACAUUCAAAGUCACCAUGGUGCCCGGGGACGGAGUAGGACCUGAACUGAUGACUGCCGUCAAGGAGGUGUUCAAGGCGGGCGACGUCCCAGUGGAGUUUGAGGAGUUCCACCUAAGUGAGGUGCAGCACAUGGACAGCGACGAGAAGCUGGAGCAGGUGUUGGUCUCCAUGAAGACCAACAGGGUGGCCAUGAAAGGAAAGAUUAACACCCCCAUGGAGUUCAAAGGGGAGCUGGCUGGCUUUGAGAUGAAAAUUAGGCGUAGGCUGGACUUGUUUGCAAAUGUGGUACACGUGAACAGCCUGCCCGGCUAUAGCACCCGCCACAACAACCUGGACCUGGUCAUCAUCCGAGAGCAGACUGAGGGAGAGUACAGCUCUCUGGAGCACGAGAGCGUGCCUGGAGUGAUCGAAUGUCUGAAGAUCAUCACUAGGGAGAAGUCUCGGCGCAUCGCCAAGUUUGCCUUCGACUACGCCACCAAGAAGGGUCGCAGCAAGGUCACGGCGGUCCACAAGGCCAACAUCAUGAAGCUUGCAGAUGGCCUGUUCCUACAGUGCUGUGCCGAGGUGGCAGAGCUGUAUCCCAAGAUCAAAUAUGAGAACAUUAUCAUAGACAACUGUUGCAUGCAGCUGGUCCAGAACCCAUACCAGUUUGACGUGCUGGUGAUGCCCAACCUUUAUGGCAACAUCAUUGACAACCUGGCCGCUGGGCUGGUCGGCGGGGCAGGAGUGGUGCCAGGAGAGAGCUACAGCGCCGAGUACGCCGUGUUUGAGACCGGAGCGCGGCACCCCUUUGCCCAGGCUGUAGGCAGGAACAUCGCCAACCCCACGGCCAUGCUGCUCAGCGCUGCCAACAUGCUCCAUCACCUCAACCUGGAAUACCACUCCAAUAUGGUGUCAGAUGCUGUCAGGAAGGUCAUCAAACAGGGGAAGGUGCGCACAGGAGACCUGGGGGGCUAUGCCACAAGCGACGAGUUCACAAGAGCUGUCAUCGCCAACCUAGCCAUCUGAGCUAUCCUCUUGAACGCACACUUUCAUUAUUUUACUCCUUUCAAACUAGUCUCUCUGCAUUGACCACUCAAACAGCUGCGCAACAGAUUAAAUCCUCCCGACCCAUGCUCAACAACAUGCUAACACCCAUAGACUCAAACGCAUACAAACCCAGAGGAGUAUACAUGAAAUAUGUAAAAUACGCACAAUGAAAUUGAGGACCGGUUCCAUAAAUGAGAAGCCAAUAUGGGGACGACACCUUCAGUCUUGUGAACGGUACCAAAAUAAAUGUUUUCCCGUUCAACAAUAGUUGUAUAGAACUUGUAAGUCACAUUCCACAUUCUCUACCAGAGUGGUGUUCUUCAAUGAAUGGGCCUUGUUUAGAUAUUCAAACAAGAUACAUGUACUAUAUCAGUAUAGUAUUUUAUUUAUUCACUACAAGUGUUAUAUGCAUUAUUGACUUGUUCAUUCAUAAUUAGUAAUAAACAUAUUCCUAUAUCUGA
This is a non-coding RNA of Salmo salar (Atlantic salmon), 1653 nucleotides long. Lineage: Eukaryota; Metazoa; Chordata; Actinopteri; Salmoniformes; Salmonidae. The record is from RefSeq and is a predicted model, not a curated record.